Molecule: ribosomal RNA, 970 nt
Filed under: uncultured bacterium
Lineage: Bacteria
Description: bacterial SSU rRNA
Rfam family: Bacterial small subunit ribosomal RNA
Source: RNAcentral
GCGAGAAAGUCGCCUUCGGGUGGCGAGUACAGCGGCGGACGGGUGAGUAACGCGUGGAUAACCUACCUGGAGAUCUGGGAUAACCCUGCGAAAGCGGGGCUAAUACCGGAUGUAUCCGGCACUCACUUUACGAUGCACAGUUGAUAAAAGCAUGAACGAGUGGAUAGUAAAGUGAGUGCCGGAUAAAGGUGGCCUCUGAAACAAGCCAUCGUCUCCGGAUGGGUCCGCGUCCCAUUAGCUUGUUGGUGGGGUAAAGGCCUACCAAGGCAACGAUGGGUAGCUGGUCUGAGAGGAUGAUCAGCCACACUGGGACUGGAACACGGCCCAGACUCCUACGGGAGGCAGCAGUGGGGAAUAUUGGGCAAUGGGCGCAAGCCUGACCCAGCGACGCCGCGUGAGGGAAGAAGGCCCUCGGGUCGUAAACCUCUGUCAGGAGGGAAGAAGUGGGUUCUGGUUAACAGCCGGGGCCUUUGACGGUACCUCCAAAGGAAGCACCGGCCAACUCCGUGCCAGCAGCCGCGGUAAUACGGAGGGUGCAAGCGUUAUUCGGAAUCACUGGGCGUAAAGCGCGCGUAGGCGGCUUCGUAAGUCAGAUGUGAAAGCCCUCGGCUCAACCGAGGAAUAGCAUUUGAAACUGCGGAGCUAGAGUUCGGGAGAGGGUGGCGGAAUUCCAGGUGUAGGAGUGAAAUCCGUAGAUAUCUGGAGGAACACCAGAGGCGAAGGCGGCCACCUGGACCGAAACUGACGCUGAGGUGCGAAAGCGUGGGUAGCAAACAGGAUUAGAUACCCUGGUAGUCUACGCCGUAAACGAUGGAUGCUAGAUGCUGGGUGCUUAUGGCAUUCGGUGUCGGAGCUAACGCGUUAAGCAUCCCGCCUGGGGAGUACGGUCGCAGGCUGAACUCAAGGAUUGACGGGGCCCGCACAGCGGUGAGUUGUGGUUAUUCGAUGCACGCGAAGACCUACUUGGGUU